Molecule: ribosomal RNA, 501 nt
Filed under: uncultured bacterium
Lineage: Bacteria
Description: bacterial SSU rRNA
Rfam family: Bacterial small subunit ribosomal RNA
Source: RNAcentral
GAUGAACGCUAGCGGCAGGCCUAAUACAUGCAAGACGAACGGUAAAUAGUGUAGCAAUACAUUAUGAGAGUGUCGUAAGGGUGCGUAACACGUAUGCAAUUUGCCUAAAACAGGAGGGUAGCUCGGGGAAACUCGAAUUAAUACUCCAUAAGAUGGAGGGGCGGCAUCACUUUGCUAUUAAAGCUUUGGAGGUUUUGGAUAAGCAUGCGUCUGACUAGUUAGUUGGCGGGGUAACGGCCCACCAAGACGAUGAUCAGUAGGGGAACUGAGAGGUGGACCCCCCACACUGGCACUGAGAUACGGGCCAGACUCCUACGGGAGGCAGCAGUAGGGAAUAUUGGACAAUGGGUGCAAGCCUGAUCCAGCCAUGCCGCGUGCAGGAAGACGGCCUUCUGGGUUGUAAACUGCUUUUGUCAGGGGAUAAAAAGCUCGUGCGCGAGAAAUUGAAGGUACCUGAUGAAUAAGCCACGGCUAACUACGUGCCAGCAGCCGCAGUAAAAC